GAUGAACGCUGGCGGCGUGCCUAACACAUGCAAGUCGAGCGAACAGACGAGGAGAUCGCUCCCUUGCCGUUAGCGGCGGACGGGUGAGUAAGACGUGGGUAACCUACUUAUUAGACUGGGAUAACAUCGGGAAACCGCAGACAAUAACGGAUCAUACUACCAACCGCAUGGUUCGAUAGUGCAUGGUAGCUUUGCCGACACAUAUAGCUGAACCUGCGCCGUAUUAGCUAGUUGGUAAGGUAACGGCUUACCAAGGCAACGAUACGUAGCCGACCUGAGAGGGUGAUCGGCCACACUGGAACUGAGACACGGUCCAGACUCCUACGGGAGGCAGCAGUAGGGAAUCUUCCGCAAUGGGCGAAAGCCUGACGGAGCAACGCCGCGUGAGUGAUGAAGGUCUUCGGAUCGUAAAACUCUGUUAUUAGGGAAGAAUAAACGUGUAAGUAACUGUGCACGUCUUGACGGUACCUAAUCAGAAAGCCACGGCUAACUACGUG
RNAcentral lists this ribosomal RNA (497 nucleotides) under uncultured bacterium. RNAcentral describes it as "partial 16S ribosomal RNA". It matches the Rfam family "Bacterial small subunit ribosomal RNA", at positions 28 to 507 of the family's 1533-position model. The record is from RNAcentral.